Molecule: long non-coding RNA, 438 nt
Filed under: Heterocephalus glaber (naked mole-rat)
Lineage: Eukaryota; Metazoa; Chordata; Mammalia; Rodentia; Bathyergidae
Description: lncRNA (ENSHGLG00100045417.1)
Source: RNAcentral
GAAAAAGCAAGGGGACGGUGCCCAUGCCCCUUAACAAAGGAAUAGUACUAGUGGUCUUCUCUCUUUUUCUCCCUGCUGCUGAUGGAGCUCCGCUGCCACCUCUCUAGGUUUACCGUUAGCUUCCUGUCAGCAUUCCUGAUUUCUCUGGAAUCAUACCAGGGAUGGAACUCAGGACCUUGCAUUUGUGAGGCAGGCGGCAGAACCACUGAGAGCCACUCAACAAGAGAAACAAAUGUCUCAUUACACGUACUCAUGCUCUGGGUCUGUUUCGGGCAGUUCUGAACAACUGCAGCUAAGCCAGCACUACUACAGGAGUAGGAGACACACGGGUUGCUGGGGUCAUCGAAUGAAGCACCAAUCUGGAAGUUAAGAGGGGGAGAAAAUAUUUGUCCUGAUUUCUCUUUGAGAUUGAUAAUUAAAUUUUAAAAAUCCUAUUUA